Molecule: non-coding RNA, 123 nt
Filed under: Bigelowiella natans
Lineage: Eukaryota; Cercozoa; Chlorarachniophyceae
Source: RNAcentral
UCUCUUCGCUUGGGCCAACGGCUGAUGGAAGAUUAAAGCCCGAUAUCAUGGCUCCUGGCGUAAGCAUCUUGUCAGCUCAAGGAGGCGCAGAGGGGACGGCUACUUGCAGUGCGACGUUCAAGU